Molecule: small nuclear RNA, 105 nt
Organism: Bison bison bison
Lineage: Eukaryota; Metazoa; Chordata; Mammalia; Artiodactyla; Bovidae
Source: Ensembl
GAGUUCUGACUCAUUAACACAUAUACAAAAAUUGGAAUGAUACAGAGAUUAGCAUGGCCCUUGCACAAGGAAGAUAUGCAAAUUUGUGAAGCAUUGCGUCCAUGA